GUCUACAUGAAAGAUGUUUGUAGUCCGGCCUGCUCACUGAGUAAAUAUCUUAAAGAGCCGCGGUAUACUGACCGUGCAAAGGUAGCAUAAUCAUUAGUUUUUUAAUUGGAAACUUGUAUGAAUGGUUAAACAAAAGAAUCUCUGUCUCUUUAUCUAGUUUUGAAUUUAACUUUUAAGUGAAAAGGCUUAAAUUUUUUAAGGGGACGAUAAGACCCUAUAAAGCUUUAUAAUGAAAUUAUAUUUUUUUAGUGUAAUUAAUAAAGAAAAAUAAAGUAACUUUAUUUUGUUGGGGCGACAUAUAUAUAAAUAUUUCAUAUAACUGUCAUAAUAUAACACAUAAAUUUAUGAAGAAAAUAAAUGAUCCUUAUUUGAAGAUUAAAAGACUAAGUUACUUUAGGGAUAACAGCGUUAUUUCUUUUAAGAGUUCUUAUUGAAAAAGAAGUUUGCGACCUCGAUGUUGAAUUAAAGAAUCUUUAUAGUGCAGCCGCUAUAAGAAGAAGGUCUGUUCGACCUGUAAAUCUUU
This 523-nucleotide ribosomal RNA is filed under the name Chorilia longipes. RNAcentral describes it as "partial large subunit ribosomal RNA". It matches the Rfam family "Archaeal large subunit ribosomal RNA", at positions 1911 to 2666 of the family's 2987-position model. The record is from RNAcentral. Lineage: Eukaryota; Metazoa; Arthropoda; Malacostraca; Decapoda; Pisidae.